CCUACGGGAGGCAGCAGUGAGGAAUAUUGGUCAAUGGACGCAAGUCUGAACCAGCCAUGCCGCGUGCAGGAAGACGGCUCUAUGAGUUGUAAACUGCUUUUGUACGAGGGUAAACGCAGAUACGCGUAUCUGUCUGAAAGUAUCGUACGAAUAAGGAUCGGCUAACUCCGUGCCAGCAGCCGCGGUAAUACGGAGGAUUCAAGCGUUAUCCGGAUUUAUUGGGUUUAAAGGGUGCGUAGGCGGUUGGUUAAGUUAGAGGUGAAAACCCGAGGCUCAACUUCGGAAUUGCCUCUGAUACUGUUCGGCUAGAGAGUAGUUGAGGUAGGCGGAAUGUAUGGUGUAGCGGUGAAAUGCUUAGAGAUCAUACAGAACACCGAUUGCGAAGGCAGCUUACCAAGCUACUUCUGACGUUGAGGCACGAAAGCGUGGGGAGCAAACAGGAUUAGAUACCCUAGUAGUC
RNAcentral lists this ribosomal RNA (460 nucleotides) under uncultured bacterium. Its description in RNAcentral is "partial 16S ribosomal RNA". It matches the Rfam family "Bacterial small subunit ribosomal RNA", at positions 338 to 795 of the family's 1533-position model. The record is from RNAcentral.